GUUAUCUUAACGGAAUUCCUGUGCAGUACGAGAGGAACCACAGGUACGGACCACUGGCUCAAUACUAGUUCGAACGGACUAUGGUAUGACGCUACGUCCGCUGGAUUAUGCCUGAACGCCUCUAAGGUCGUAUCCAAUCCGAGCUGAUAGCGCUUCUAUACCCAUUAGGUGGUCGAUAAGCUAGCGGGCCUAACAACCCUCCCGAGAACCGUCCGUGCUGUCCAUUGGCACACUGGCGUCUCAUCCCCGCUUACUACUAGGCCGCAAAGGGCGGGUUCGCGCUGCACGUGUUAGUACCAUACAUGUUGGGAACACCGGUGGACGAGCUUGCCGACUGUGGAUAUCACUAGUUUCGACACCUACGACCGCCCGCAAACGACGGGACUACAGGCUGGGAGCUUCAAGUUGUAGAGAUGCGUUCGCAUCGAUCCUCUCAGGCGACCCAUGCUUGGUGGUUA
This 458-nucleotide ribosomal RNA is filed under the name Anopheles funestus (African malaria mosquito). Its description in RNAcentral is "eukaryotic large subunit ribosomal RNA". It matches the Rfam family "Eukaryotic large subunit ribosomal RNA", at positions 3004 to 3401 of the family's 3401-position model. The record is from RNAcentral. Lineage: Eukaryota; Metazoa; Arthropoda; Insecta; Diptera; Culicidae.